This 452-nucleotide ribosomal RNA is filed under the name uncultured bacterium. RNAcentral's name for it is "bacterial SSU rRNA". It matches the Rfam family "Bacterial small subunit ribosomal RNA", at positions 354 to 796 of the family's 1533-position model. The record is from RNAcentral.
GUGGGGAAUUUUUCGCAAUGGGCGCAAGCCUGACGAAGCAACGCCGCGUGGAGGAUGAAGGCCCUCGCGGUCGUAAACUCCUGUCUAGCGGGACGAAAGUAUUUUGAGUGAAUAAUUCAAGAUAUUGACUGUACCGCUGGAGGAAGCUCCGGCUAACUCCGUGCCAGCAGCCGCGGUAAUACGGAGGGAGCAAGCGUUACUCGGAAUUAUUGGGCGUAAAGGGCGCGUAGGCUAUUUGACAAGUCUCGUGUGAAAGCCCAGAGCUUAACUCUGGAAGUGCAUGAGAAACUGUUAGAUUUGAGUUCCGGAGAGGAAGGCAGAAUUCCCGGUGUAGCGGUGAAAUGCGUAGAUAUCGGGAGGAAUACCAGUGGCGAAGGCGGCCUUCUGGACGGAUACUGACGCUGAGGCGCGAAAGCCAGGGGAGCAAACGGGAUUAGAUACCCCAGUAGUCC